AAAAAAUGUUCUAAAAUUUCCCAAAAAUGUUGAAAAUGUGGACAUCAGAAGUUUCACCGUGAAAAUAUUUUUUUCCACAUUUUCAAACGUUAAAACGGGUCAAUUUGAGCUGCAGGACGACACGAGGGUUAAUUUGCUUAACUUUUCAGAUUGUCAGUGUAGGAUAUACACUCACUCACUGUUAGCUCCUGCUGCUAUUUACCUCUUCAAAGCAGUGCUCUAAUUAUCUCCUUUGUUUUAAAUUAAGUCUGAUUUUUGUCUUAACUGAUGAGAUCUUUUCUAGAGCACUUUGCCUUUCUAGUCUUCCUUUCUGCCUACAUUAGUCACUACGUUGCUAACGCAGAGAUUUGUCCUGCUUUGCUAGUCUCAGUCAUGCGCGCUACUUUUCAGACUCAUCAGUAUGUUUGUUCAGCUCAAUCUGGUGGCUGCUGACUUUGUGUUUGCUGCGUUUGAACACUUGAGGGCGUCCUGAGAUCAGCAGCAGAAACACAAGGAUAAAAACUGACAGGAGCUGUGUGACGCUCAAAUGAAGGAAGGAGGUGCAGGGACAUUUUGUGCCACUAAGCCAAAGAUUUGUUAUGAGUAUUUUUAAGAUGUGUCUAAGGCGUUAAUCCAAUCAGCCAUGUCUUACAGUAUUUGACUGACUGACUUGUUGUCAAUUUGGGAGUGCAAAGAGUUUCUAUUUAUGUUGUGAAUGAAUUGCGAUAAAGUGUGAGGAAUCCAAGGAUGGUUUUUGUACAAUCCGGUUUAAAGGAUUGUGGAUCUAUUGAUUCGUAUAAAUCAUAUUAUACUAUAAAGAAAAAAAAAACAAGCAUUGGGAUAUCUUUCUCUUACUAUAAUCUGAUUUUUUUUCCUCAAAUCUUUGUACUAUAUUUUGAACCAAGAAGUAAAUUCCAGCUGUGGAAAUGUCAUUUUUGUUGACAAAACUUAAUCAGCUGUGAAGAUUAAAUUCCAAACCAGCAAAUUCAAUAUGGAGUAAAAGGAAUUACCAGAUAUAAUAUUAAACAGCUGUCAGACAAAACUGUAUUUAAACAAUUAUCUGAGCAACAAAGUAUGUUAAAAGUCAAGGGAGCCAUAAACCUUAGAUCAUCACCAAAUUGUUGUUUUAUGAGAUUUAUUGCAGAUGAAGAAAUGCAAUCAGCAUUAAUGGCAUGUGCUGAUUUGACACUGUGGAGAUAUUUGAAGUAUGUUACGGGGUUGUUUUGUCCAUUAGGAAACACUCGGAAGCCUUUCGAAGGCACGUUCAAGCUUUUAAUAUUUAGAUUUUAAAUGUUUGUUGCACAUUUAACCAACAUGCAGCUCAUCAGUUGAGUUUUUCUGCUGUCACCUGUCAUGUAUCCAGGACCCAGGGAUCUAAAUGAUGAAUCAUUCUGAAGGAUGUAGGAUUGUGCCAGAUGUGGUUCGCUAUUUACACUUUCUUUUUAAGUUUGUGCUUCAAUAUCCAGCAGAAUCAUGUAAAAAAAAAUGUACACUCCUUUAAGUAAAAUGCUGCACAUAGAACAUUUAUUAAGCCAGGAGCUUGUAAAUUUGCAGCUCAUCAGACUGUUUAAAUCAGUAUAUAAGACUUAAUUUCUGAUCUUUUUGCUCAUUUGGUUUAAAAUCUCAUAUCCACAUGGUGUUUUUUUUUUUUUUUUUUUAAUCAAAUUCAAUUUAAAUCAAUAAAACUUGAAACUCUGAUUUUGCAAAUUCCGUCACCUUCCAACUUUUUUUGCCUGCGUUUACUAUUAAAUAAAGUAAAAAAGGGUGAGAAGAGGGAAGAGCGCCACCCAGACGGGACCUGACGAGCAGUGUUUGAAUACUCCCUGUGUUAUCCUUCAGCGCCCUGACACCCGCCCUCCCUCACCCACGCAGCAGCACACUUCCUCGGACACCUGUUUCUCCGGCUCUUUCAGCUCUUCAAGGAAUUUGCAUCUCAAAUGGGGCGAAUUCCCACAGCAGCGUCCAAAGCGC
Long non-coding RNA from Amphiprion ocellaris (clown anemonefish), 1950 nucleotides. NCBI's taxonomy places the organism in Eukaryota, Metazoa, Chordata, Actinopteri, Pomacentridae. The record is from Ensembl.